Vicia faba (fava bean) is the source of this 318-nucleotide non-coding RNA. Lineage: Eukaryota; Viridiplantae; Streptophyta; Magnoliopsida; Fabales; Fabaceae. The record is from the annotation of a GenBank genome assembly.
AUGCAGACAAAGACAUUUCAAUCUCUCUUCAGGUUAAUUUAAAAAGUGGUCCUCACAUCCAACAAUGCCAUGAAAUCACUCCAAGAUUCCUCUUACUUAAGACAAGGACUUACAUCAACACAAACUAACAAAAUCCAAAACAUACAUUCACACAGAAAGUGCAUGUCCAAGAAGAUGAAGAAAGAACAAUUGGUGUUUAUCCCUCAUCCUGGUUUGAGCCACCUAGUUUCCACCCUAGAGUUCGAUAAGCUUCUAAUCAACUGUGAUAACCGUCUCCAAAUAAUUGUCUUACGUAUUAAAUUUCCAAACAAUACAUAA